GCGCGGCUGCGCGACUCGUCAGGAAACACUAUCCCCGGGGCCUUACGCAUUCCCUAGGGAGCUGUCCCUGUUCCGGCCCCUGGGCUGGAGCACACGGCGCCCACCUACACUGUAGGUUUCCCGGGAUUGCACCUUCCAACGGUCUGUGUGGCUGCGUC
RNAcentral lists this non-coding RNA (158 nucleotides) under Polymorphum gilvum SL003B-26A1. RNAcentral's name for it is "6S / SsrS RNA". It matches the Rfam family "6S / SsrS RNA". From Rfam's summary of the family: E. coli 6S RNA was the first non coding RNA to be sequenced, but its function was unknown until recently. It consists of 184 nucleotides that fold into an extended hairpin structure with a large single-stranded internal bulge. The 6S RNA specifically associates with RNA polymerase holoenzyme containing the sigma70 specificity factor. The record is from Rfam by way of RNAcentral. Lineage: Bacteria; Pseudomonadati; Pseudomonadota; Alphaproteobacteria; Rhodobacterales; Paracoccaceae.